Molecule: transfer RNA, 72 nt
Filed under: Cupriavidus pauculus
Lineage: Bacteria; Pseudomonadati; Pseudomonadota; Betaproteobacteria; Burkholderiales; Burkholderiaceae
Description: tRNA-Val
Source: RNAcentral
GCUUGGCUCUUGGGUUACCCACCAGCCUUCACACGGCAGGGGUCACAGGUUCAAUCCCUGUACCACCCACCA